Molecule: long non-coding RNA, 255 nt
Filed under: Hordeum vulgare
Lineage: Eukaryota; Viridiplantae; Streptophyta; Magnoliopsida; Poales; Poaceae
Description: long non-coding RNA (HVUL_LNC004430)
Source: RNAcentral
UCCUCCUGUCCGGGCGAGAGAUAGGAUUGUUUUCCCCUGUCCUCACUUCUUCCCAGCCAGCCACGAGCCACCUCCCACAAACCAAUGCUAGCUUUGACUGCCCUGAUCAGAAGAAUCUAGCUAGCGACCAGACCACCACUGCCAUCUCUUCCAAAUCGACCACUGAUCGAUAAAAAUACACGAGCUCCAUCUCCACAAUGGCUUCGGCGAACAACUGGCUGGGCUUCUCGCUCUCCGGCCAAGGGAACCANNNNN